This 77-nucleotide transfer RNA is filed under the name Gammaproteobacteria bacterium. Its description in RNAcentral is "tRNA-Arg". It matches the Rfam family "tRNA". Rfam says of the family: Transfer RNA (tRNA) molecules are approximately 80 nucleotides in length. Their secondary structure includes four short double-helical elements and three loops (D, anti-codon, and T loops). Lineage: Bacteria; Pseudomonadati; Pseudomonadota; Gammaproteobacteria. The record is from RNAcentral. RNAcentral also lists the same sequence under 1 other name.
GCGCCUGUAGCUCAGUUGGAUAGAGUACUCGGCUACGAACCGAGCGGUCGCACGUUCGAAUCGUGCCAGGCGCACCA